RNAcentral lists this ribosomal RNA (206 nucleotides) under uncultured bacterium. Its description in RNAcentral is "partial 16S ribosomal RNA". It matches the Rfam family "Bacterial small subunit ribosomal RNA", at positions 568 to 774 of the family's 1533-position model. The record is from RNAcentral.
CGCGUAGGCGGCCGCCUAAGUCAGACGUGAAAUCCCUCGGCUCGACCGGGGAACUGCGUCUGAUACUGGGUGGCUUGAAUUCGGGAGAGGGAUGCGGAAUUCCAGGUGUAGCGGUGAAAUGCGUAGAUAUCUGGAGGAACACCGGUGGCGAAGGCGGCAUCCUGGACCGAGAUUGACGCUGAGGCGCGAAAGCCAGGGAGCAAACG